This 473-nucleotide ribosomal RNA is filed under the name uncultured bacterium. Its description in RNAcentral is "bacterial SSU rRNA". It matches the Rfam family "Bacterial small subunit ribosomal RNA", at positions 335 to 798 of the family's 1533-position model. The record is from RNAcentral.
ACUCCUACGGGAGGCAGCAGUGGGAAUAUUGGACAAUGGGGGGACCCGUAGCUCCAGCCAUGCCGCGUGUGUGAAGAAGGCCUUAUGGUUGUAAAGCACUUUAAGCGAGGAGGAGGCUACUGAGACUAAUACUCUUGGAUAGUGGACGUUACUCGCAGAAGAAGCACCGGCUAACUCCGUGCCAGCAGCCGCGGUAAUACGGAGGGUGCGAGCGUUAAUCGGAAUUACUGGGCGUAAAGCGCAUGCAGGUGGUUUGUUAAGUCAGAUGUGAAAGCCCGGGGCUCAACCUCGGAAUUGCAUUUGAAACUGGCAGACUAGAGUACUGUAGAGGGGGGUGAGAAUUAUCAGGUGUAGCGGUGAAAUGCGUAGAGAUCUGAAGGAAUACCGGUGGCGAAGGCGGCCCCCUGGACAGAUACUGACACUCAGAUGCGAAAGCGUGGGAGCAAACAGGAUUAGAUACCCCGGUAGGCUCU